This 75-nucleotide transfer RNA is filed under the name Schizothorax plagiostomus. Its description in RNAcentral is "tRNA-Ser". It matches the Rfam family "tRNA". From Rfam's summary of the family: Transfer RNA (tRNA) molecules are approximately 80 nucleotides in length. Their secondary structure includes four short double-helical elements and three loops (D, anti-codon, and T loops). The record is from RNAcentral. Lineage: Eukaryota; Metazoa; Chordata; Actinopteri; Cypriniformes; Cyprinidae.
UUAGAAGAAAGUGACAGAGUGGUUAUGUGGGCUUUCUUGAACCAGCAUAUGGGGGUUCAAUACCUCCCUUUCUCG